Non-coding RNA from Armatimonadetes bacterium RBG_16_67_12, 78 nucleotides. NCBI's taxonomy places the organism in Bacteria, Bacillati, Armatimonadota. The record is from Rfam.
UCCGAUAAAGGCAAACCCGCCGCGAGGCGGGGACGCAAAGCCACAGAACCCCCUCUGGGGUUGGCUGGGUUGCCGAAG